UAGGAAGUCUUUGUUAUCAUGUCAAACAAAUCAAUACAUGUAAAUACUGUUGUAAUUUUUUGUGGGAAACACUCAAAACAAGAGGGUUGGAAGGUAUGUAAUCAUCUUGCUGAUCAUGAAAGAUAACUUUAUAAUAACAUGCCAAAAAAAGCUUGAUAAUUUCAGCAUAACUGUUGUGUCUAUGCAUGAAAAAAUACUAUUCUGAAAAUUCACAUUUGAACAUUGUUAUGAGAUUACAUGGGUGAAUUUAAAGAAUCAUUUGCACAAAAAAAAUAGCUUGAGCACAACCUAGAAGUGACCUACUGUUAACUUACUUUCCUCAAUCUCAACAAAAGCAUAACAUAUCAAUUAGGCAUACUAAAGGCAGCAAAAAUCUCUUUAAUUUGAUAGUUAAAAGUCCUAGUUCUCUUAAAUAAAAUUGAGAAUGGAAAUGGGUAAUGUGUUGAAGAGACAACAACCUGACCAUAGCAGAAGAUCAUCAACAGAAAUCCCCACACCCAGAGGCAUCCUUCAGCUGGCCCCUUAACAAAUAUAUUUACUAGUUCAGUGAUAAUGGACGUCAUACUAAACUCCAAAUUGUACCCAAGAAACUAAUUGAUAUUUUAUAUAUUACUCUGGAUUCAUUAAUAUUUGUUGGAUACUAACUUUCCUAGAUUUUGUGAGUACAGGUUAACCACAAAUUUAAAUGUUUAAUGGACUACAAGUUUUCUAAAGGAAUGUAUGCAGACUUUUCCAAAACCAUAAAAUUAAAUAUCCACGAACGUGCAAGUUUUCCUCAAUCCACGAAAAUUGAUACUAAAAAAAAUAAAAGAAUCCGCAGUGAAGCUCACGAUGGAAUACUUUGAAAUAAGUUUGAAGUAACAACAAUCUUUUUCGAAUAUCAGUUAGGAAUCUCAACAGAAGCUUCAACAUUUCAAGUAAAUAGAUUCAAGCAAAUUCAAGAUAAUCACAAGGGCGCUUUUUUAACUAUAUGUUCAAAUAUUCUAUACAAGUUUUAGAAUUUAUUUAAAGCAUUCUCUUGUCUUUAUAAGACAUUUGGAUGGAUAUAACGAUUAUAUAAUUGGUUUAUGUUAAACAUAUAAAACCAGUAUCAGCAUUUUCACUUCCAAAACAAAAACAAUAAAACAAUAUCAUUAAAUAAUAUCACAAACAAAUAUCUACCAAUAUAAGGAAAGUUAUCAAACAUAUAAUAAUAUCCUUAUUGUUCAAUAAUUUCCAGUUCAUACAGAAAAUCAUCAUUUGCAAUAAUCAUGUGUCAAUAAAACAAAUAUUUAUAUACAAUAAAAACAAAAAUAAAAGGUCAUAAUUUGAAAAUGGAACUUCACCUGGUUUCAAUUCCCUUCUCAAAGGCUCAAUGGAUUUUCUUUAAAGAUCUUCCUUCAUACCGGUAAUUUUACUAAAUGCAUAUUAAAUGAAACAAAAGACAUAGGCGGAUCCAGGGGGAAAAUUUGGUUGAUUAUAUAGGGAAUCAUCGAAGCAUGACUGGGGCGGCCCCCCCCUUAGGUCAGUCAGCGCCCCCCCCCCCCCCCCCUUUAGGGAAAGUUUUGAAUCCGCCACUGAAAGACUUAAUAUUAGUGCAAACAAAUCAAACACCAAACUAGAAAGAAUACCUUUCAUUCCUUACCACACUUUCAUAUAUUUCCUUUUUUCUUUUCCUUUCUGUUUAAAUCCCCUGUAUCUAUGAUUUUUCUAAAAAGGGACAGGGUUAGUGAGAUAGUCACUCUUCUUUAAUGUUGGUUUUUUUUUUUAUAUUUUACCAUCUAAUUAUCUUUCCAAUCUAAUUUUUUUCUGUGUUUUAAAAACAUAUUCAACUUAGAUUUACAUAUUUACACGCAAGAUGUACUAUUUAAAACUAAUACUUUAAUCACAGAUUUUUCUAUAUAUCACAGAUUUUUCUAUAUAUCACAGACAUUUGAAAAUUGAGCAAUUGAAAUCAAAAUUACUCAUUGUCAUUAUUGUCACUUUCACUCAUCACUCAUAUACCAUACACUCAGUCUAUUUGUUUGGUGACACUGAAAGGUUAUCAGAAAUCAUUAAUAAUAAUUAUAAUGGCAAUCAUCCUUAUCAAACACAUUUUAAAUAGAUUGCCCUUGUGCAAAUUAAACUGAAAGCUCCACCAGAUCAGCUGAACAAAAUUUUAUAAUAAUUGUGAAAAUGAAUCAAUUUCUCAAUUAUUAAUAAAAAUAUAACAGUUAAGUAAGAGAAUACAUGGUCAUGUUUUACUAAUAUUUAUAAAGCUCUAAGUAAAGGUUGUGAUCUUAUGUAUCACUUUAAAAACAAUUUUAGUCAGCCAAGCAUAAUAUGUAGGUUUGAAGGGCCUUUUUGAAAAUAUGCCUAUACAUUCGUAUAGACAAAUCUUUACAGCAAUAUGUAUGAUUUUUUUAAUUGAGAUCUGAAUUGGGAUGACAUAGGUAUAUAUAUUGUAUUAGUUUAAUAGCAUCUGGUAGAGGCAAACUAAAGAAAGAGAACAGAACUAUAGAACUUUUAAAAUGAGGCCCCAACAAUUCAAACUUGAUCAGUAUUUUGUGGUUAAAAGCAUUGUGUAUAAGUUUCAUACCAUUUGGUUGAGGCAAAUUAAAAUUAGAGAACAGAAAGGAAAAAUUUUGCUUUUUUUUCUAUUCUAACGGGGCAUUACUGUAGAACAGUUAGAGUUACAUCACCAAAAUUCAAAUUUGGUCUAUAGUUUGUGGUAAGAAGCAUUGUGUAGAGUUUCAUAAAAUUUGGUAGAGGCAAUCUAAAGUUUGAGAACAGAUACCAAUUUUGGAUGUACGUACGGACGUACACUGGAAAAACUUAAUGCCCUCUUAAUUAUGGCGGGGCAUAAAAAGACUCUAUGUUUGAGGAAAACCAUUUGCCUAUUAGAUGGACUAUAGUGUUUCACUAAGUGAAGUAAGUUUAAAGAUAACUUAUUAUCAGAGAUUCAAACAUAACAUAUCACUUUCUAUCAGAUAAAUGAGAAUAAAUGAUGUAUACAUCUAAAAAAGUAUGAUUAUUCUUUAAAA
This 3002-nucleotide long non-coding RNA is filed under the name Mytilus galloprovincialis (Mediterranean mussel). Lineage: Eukaryota; Metazoa; Mollusca; Bivalvia; Mytilida; Mytilidae. The record is from RNAcentral.